AUUUAGAGGAAGUAAAAGUCGUAACAAGGUCUCCGUUGGUGAACCAGCGGAGGGAUCAUUACCGAGUUUACAACUCCCAAACCCAAUGUGAACGUUACCAAACUGUUGCCUCGGCGGGGUCACGCCCCGGGUGCGUCGCAGCCCCGGAACCAGGCGCCCGCCGGAGGAACCAACCAAACUCUUUCUGUAGUCCCCUCGCGGACGUAUUUCUUUACAGCUCUGAGCAAAAAUUCAAAAUGAAUCAAAACUUUCAACAACGGAUCUCUUGGUUCUGGCAUCGAUGAAGAACGCAGCGAAAUGCGAUAAGUAAUGUGAAUUGCAGAAUUCAGUGAAUCAUCGAAUCUUUGAACGCACAUUGCGCCCGCCAGUAUUCUGGCGGGCAUGCCUGUCCGAGCGUCAUUUCAACCCUCGAACCCCUCCGGGGGAUCGGCGUUGGGGAUCGGGACCCCUCACACGGGUGCCGGCCCCUAAAUACAGUGGCGGUCUCGCCGCAGCCUCUCCUGCGCAGUAGUUUGCACAACUCGCACCGGGAGCGCGGCGCGUCCACGUCCGUAAAACACCCAACUUUCUGAAAUGUUGACCUCGGAUCAGGUAGGAAUACCCGCUGAACUUAAGCAUAUCAA
This 623-nucleotide ribosomal RNA is filed under the name Trichoderma asperellum. RNAcentral's name for it is "eukaryotic LSU rRNA". The stretch from base 246 to 399 matches the Rfam family "5.8S ribosomal RNA". The record is from RNAcentral. Lineage: Eukaryota; Fungi; Ascomycota; Sordariomycetes; Hypocreales; Hypocreaceae.